UCAGGUGUGAUUACCCGCUGAACUUAAGCAUAUCAGUAAGCGAGA
This 45-nucleotide ribosomal RNA is filed under the name Acrobeloides cf. nanus WB-2017. Its description in RNAcentral is "partial 28S ribosomal RNA". The record is from RNAcentral. Lineage: Eukaryota; Metazoa; Nematoda; Chromadorea; Rhabditida; Cephalobidae.